GACAGAGGUGCCGAGCGUUAGGCGGAAUCACUGGGCUUAAAGCGUGUGUAGGCGGGUCGUUAAGUGCCUUGUGAAAUCCCACAGCUCACCUGUGGAACUGCUCGGCAUACUGGCGAUCUUGAGCCACUUAGGGGCAACCGGAACAAACGGUGGAGCGGUGAAAUGCGUAGAGAUCGGGAAGAAUACCAGUGGCGAAGGCGUUCUGCUGGGCCGUUGCUGACACUGAGGCGCGACAGCGUGGGGAGCAAACAGG
This 253-nucleotide ribosomal RNA is filed under the name uncultured bacterium. RNAcentral describes it as "partial 16S ribosomal RNA". It matches the Rfam family "Bacterial small subunit ribosomal RNA", at positions 524 to 776 of the family's 1533-position model. The record is from RNAcentral.